AGAGUUUGAUCCUGGCUCAGGAUGAACGCUAGCUACAGGUUUAACACAUGCAAGUCGAGGGGAAACGACAUCGAAAGCUUGCUUUUGAUGGGCGUCGACCGGCGCACGGGUGAGUAACGCGUAUCCAACCUGCCCAUCACUUGGGGAUAACCUUGCGAAAGUAAGACUAAUACCCAAUGACGUCUCUAGAAGACAUCUGAAAGAGAUUAAAGAUUUAUCGGUGAUGGAUGGGGAUGCGUCUGAUUAGCUUGUUGGCGGGGUAACGCCACCAAGGCGACGAUCAGUAGGGGUUCUGAGAGGAAGGUCCCCACAUUGGAACUGAGACACGGUCCAAAACUCCUACGGGAGGCCAA
RNAcentral lists this ribosomal RNA (353 nucleotides) under uncultured bacterium. Its description in RNAcentral is "bacterial SSU rRNA". It matches the Rfam family "Bacterial small subunit ribosomal RNA", at positions 8 to 350 of the family's 1533-position model. The record is from RNAcentral.